This 358-nucleotide ribosomal RNA is filed under the name Clostridioides difficile. Its description in RNAcentral is "partial 23S ribosomal RNA". It matches the Rfam family "Bacterial large subunit ribosomal RNA", at positions 2169 to 2525 of the family's 2925-position model. Lineage: Bacteria; Bacillati; Bacillota; Clostridia; Peptostreptococcales; Peptostreptococcaceae. The record is from RNAcentral.
CGCCAGUUUUGGCGGAGCCAUCCUUGGGAUACCACCCUUGUAGUACUGGGACUCUAACCAUAGGCCAUGAAUCUGGUCUUGGGACACUGUCAGGUGGGCAGUUUGACUGGGGCGGUCGCCUCCCAAAAGGUAACGGAGGCGCUCAAAGGUUCUCUCAGUACGGUCGGAAAUCGUACGUAGAGUGUAAAGGCAAAAGAGGGCUUGAUUGCAAGACAUACAGGGCGAGCAAGGAUGAAAAUCGGACUUAGUGAUCCGGUGGUUCUGCGUGGAAGGGCCAUCGCUCAACGGAUAAAAGCUACCCUGGGGAUAACAGGCUUAUCUCCCCCAAGAGUCCACAUCGACGGGGAGGUUUGGCACC